UACGUAGGGUGCGAGCGUUGUCCGGAAUUAUUGGGCGUAAAGAGCUCGUAGGCGGUCUGUCGCGUCGAAUGUGAAAACCCGGGGCUCAACUCCGGGCUUGCAUUCGAUACGGGCAGGCUAGAGUUCGGUAGGGGAGACUGGAAUUCCUGGUGUAGCGGUGAAAUGCGCAGAUAUCAGGAGGAACACCGGUGGCGAAGGCGGGUCUCUGGGCCGAUACUGACGCUGAGACGCGAAAGCGUGGGGAGCGAACAGG
This 253-nucleotide ribosomal RNA is filed under the name uncultured bacterium. Its description in RNAcentral is "partial 16S ribosomal RNA". It matches the Rfam family "Bacterial small subunit ribosomal RNA", at positions 524 to 776 of the family's 1533-position model. The record is from RNAcentral.